CACCUGCAUAGUAAUACAUGAUCCAAAUUAGUCCAUCAGUUGGUUAGCUCAGUUUUACUGGCCACAAACAGUUAAAAAGCAUGUCCAUACAUCGCUGGUUUAAUACUGUUGAUGAGAGUUAAAGGACAACAUGCCUACCAGAUGUUAUGCUUCCUCAUCUGUAAAAAGGAUGUCGUACUUCCUACUGACAUCAAAAGAUCUGCCCAAGGAAAGGAAGAAUAUGUGAAGCAUGAGCAGGACUUUUGUUCUAGGCUGAUGAUGUGGCUUCUGUUUUAGAGGGAGUGCCUUCAGUUUGGCGGUUGAAGACCUUGCUUUGUUAAAGGCCUCAUGUCCGUUUGGUUUCAGAAAAGGAAAACUGCAGCCGGUCUGAUAAUAGGUAACUUGCUGACCUUGUCUAGGCAUGCUGUUUUAGUUUCAGAGGAGUAACCAGGACGGCUAAUUAUGUCUUUGAGCUAUGCAGUGUAACAACUCUUAUUAUGCAAUUCAAAGUAUGUUAUGGUAGCAGAGGAUUGGUUAUGGACUCCUAAAAUCAGGAAUACGUUCAUACUAUUUGGUUACUGUAACUGAUAAAAAGGAUGUGCUGCUUCUUUCUUGCUACUGUUUAUGAUGGAGAAGUUGAAGGAAGGAGGUGACUUGGCAAGUUGCAUCAACACCUACCAGUCAGAAAGAAACCAAAAGAAGGGGAUACAGUGUAGUGAUGGUCCUUCUGUAAGAAGAAUUCUUUGGGGGGAGAAUGGUAGCUUGUUCAUCUGCUAGUCAAAGUUGGAUUGAAGCUGAAACUGAUAGUUGGGCAGGAAGGCAUUAAUUCAUGAUGAUGCCAAUAAUGCAGGAUUCACUGGCAUGGGUAUUUUGAUAGCGAGUUUUAUUAACUGUAAUUCAGGACACAGAGCUACCUGGAUGUUUAGAGUAACAGAAUGGAUUUUAGUUUUACAUAGUGCCGUAGCGUUAGUUUGUUCGUGAGUUUUUCAUGAGUGAAGCGUGAACUUACCGAUGGAGUUUUAGCUAUUUAUACUUUUCUGGACCAUUUUAAGCUGAGACUUGAGAACCAUUUGUUUGUUUCUUCUU
Non-coding RNA from Oryza sativa Japonica Group (Japanese rice), 1065 nucleotides. Lineage: Eukaryota; Viridiplantae; Streptophyta; Magnoliopsida; Poales; Poaceae. The record is from RefSeq and is a predicted model, not a curated record.